CAAACUACGGCCUGCAGGCCACAUCCAGCCUGCAGGACCAUCCUGCCCGGCCCCUGAGUUCCUGGCCUGGGAGGCUCACCCGUGGCUCCUCCCACGCUGUUCCCCUUCUCCUGCAGCCACGCAGCUGCACGGGCAGCAGGGCUGCAAGCUUCUGCCAUUCUGAAUGGCAUGUGUAUUCCAGAGCAGAGGAGUAUGGGGUGCAGGGAAGGACCCGAGACUAAGCCCAAGAGACCCGAUUUAGGGUUGUGGAAAAGUUUUAGAACCCAUCAUGAAGGGAACAUUGGUUACAAAGACUACAUGACACCAGGUAUAAGAGAUCUAAAUGUCAGAGGGAAACAGAAAGAAAGCAACAGUUGGAUUUCAAAGCUAAGAAGAUGGCAGAGCAUUGCCAGUUCAGUGCUUUUUCAGAGGAAGGCCAGAAGCUAUCUAGAUGUCCUUUCUUGAUGUUACAUC
Molecule: long non-coding RNA, 453 nt
Organism: Chelonia mydas (Green sea turtle)
Lineage: Eukaryota; Metazoa; Chordata; Testudines; Cheloniidae
Exons: 3
Source: RefSeq, a predicted model, not a curated record